AUGAGUUUGAAAGAUAAAUUACAGAAAAUACCUUAUCACAUCCCGUAUGCGAUUGGCUUGUAGGAUAUUAUUUUUUCAAGAUAGUCUCUUGGGGUUUCAAUUAAUUAUUUUAUUGAUUAAAAAGAUUAGAUCUCUCUCCCUCUCCAUACCUCACCCUCUCUCCCUCUUCUCUUUCCCAUACCCAAGGGUUGGGCAUCCAUCAUCCGCACAUCUG
RNAcentral lists this long non-coding RNA (214 nucleotides) under Elaeis guineensis (African oil palm). RNAcentral's name for it is "long non-coding RNA (EGUI_LNC050102)". Lineage: Eukaryota; Viridiplantae; Streptophyta; Magnoliopsida; Arecales; Arecaceae. The record is from RNAcentral.